This 895-nucleotide long non-coding RNA is filed under the name Chinchilla lanigera (long-tailed chinchilla). Its description in RNAcentral is "lncRNA (ENSCLAG00000026202.1)". The record is from RNAcentral. Lineage: Eukaryota; Metazoa; Chordata; Mammalia; Rodentia; Chinchillidae.
GCAGGGUCCCCGGCCAGCUCAGAAGCUGCAUUUGACACCCGCCCAGGUCUGCUCACUGUCCUUGAACCCCAGGGUUCCCAUCCAUGGCCAGCAGCAGUCCUGGCCCCACCGCUUCCUGCACACGUUGCUGUAUGGCGAACCUCCUUAGACAAGACCAGGAGGGAGGUGCCCUGUCGGAAGAACGCCAGUCCGCCCUCCUCGCUGUCGCCUCCCUUUUCCUCCCCAGCAGGGAAGAAAAUGUCCUCCGCCCCCAUCUCCGAUCUCAGUGGGGGCGCGGGGCGCGGGAGGCCCCACAGCACCCGCGUCCACGCGGCCCCUUCCUCCACGAUUGCACUCCCGGGCCUGCCCCGGCCUGGAAACUGAGGCAGGGGAGCAACACUCGCAGCGUCGCGGAAGCUGCUCUUCCUGUCCACCUCUCCUUCAGGCCGUCUUCAGGCCCACGGGAGGCAAGGGUGCCUCACCUCGCUACCCAGAGAGCAGGUACCCGACCCAGGACGCUGGAGCUCUGCCUCCACUUUCUCCCUACAGGGCUGUCUGAGUGCCUCAGUGGAUGGGGUUUCUCCUUUGCCUUGCUUCUCUCUGCAGCCUGGACUGUAGAUCAGCACCUAAAGCGCUGUCAUGGGAUGAAUGAAACUCCUUGAGCAGAAUUUAACCCAGCUGAUUCACCUGCAGACCUGCUACCCCUGCUACCCCUGCUACCUCUGCUACCCCUGCUACCUCUGCUACCUACACAGGCCACAUCCUAUCAGGCCAUGGACAGGGUGCUGGGAAAGCUGGGCAGACAGACAGAAGCCCUGAGGUCUGAGAGCUGGCUCAUAGACUUGGUGACACAAAAGACAGGAAAAGCUGGAGACAGGCUGGCAGAAGGUAAGGCCCUUUGUGACCCACGAUGACU